GGCUGCCACAGAGACACUGUAACUCAUGGGCCCUGUUCCUCUCUGCUGAGGCUCAGGGAUAAAUUUUGUUACAGACAUGA
This 80-nucleotide small nucleolar RNA is filed under the name Echinops telfairi (small Madagascar hedgehog). Its description in RNAcentral is "Small nucleolar RNA SNORA5 (ENSETEG00000026729.1)". It matches the Rfam family "Small nucleolar RNA SNORA5", at positions 56 to 134 of the family's 134-position model. Rfam says of the family: ACA5 is a member of the H/ACA class of snoRNA that guide the sites of modification of uridines to pseudouridines. Lineage: Eukaryota; Metazoa; Chordata; Mammalia; Afrosoricida; Tenrecidae. The record is from RNAcentral.